This is a non-coding RNA of Mycena rebaudengoi, 95 nucleotides long. The record is from the annotation of a GenBank genome assembly. Lineage: Eukaryota; Fungi; Basidiomycota; Agaricomycetes; Agaricales; Mycenaceae.
GCUCUGGUUGAUUAAAUGGUAAAUCGCUCACCAUACUUGGUGGUUGGUAGAAAAAGCAGAGGUGAGAGACGGAGGUUCGAAUCCUCCCGAGAGCA